Molecule: long non-coding RNA, 539 nt
Filed under: Monodelphis domestica (gray short-tailed opossum)
Lineage: Eukaryota; Metazoa; Chordata; Mammalia; Didelphimorphia; Didelphidae
Description: lncRNA (ENSMODG00000048677.1)
Source: RNAcentral
CCAGCAGUGAGGGAAUCCAACAACAGACUACUGAAAUUCAACUAUAUACAAGCCAACUGACCGAUAUUUGGGUUAAUAACACUGAAAACCUUAGUCCAAGUGGAUAAUGACUAGACUUCUCUCCAGAUCACGUCAGUUGGGAAUCACUGAAAAUUUGCAUAUCCCUCUCUACAACUGAGAUGUGACAUUAGAAAAAUCUUGGGUCAUUCCUGCCUACCUCUUCACUUCCCCAAGACUGACAGGUCUUACCAAAGUUGUAUUCUACUGAGAAACCCUUCAAGAAAGGAAAGUGAGAAAUUGUAGCAUGGAUUUAUUGGUACAAAUAAUAUAUUCUGUUAAAUUCCCAAGCAUAACAUGAAAGACUCUGUCAAAUGUCUUACUGAAAUGUACUCAUCAGCGAUAAGAGAAGACAAUAGCUUGUAGCUGCCACCAAGGAAAUAGAGAAAAAAGAUCAGUAGAGAUGCUACUAACUGGGCCAUAGUUGCUUCCUGACAAACUGUGCAGCAGCUUUUUUCAUCAGUCCCCAGAGACAAGAGGCA